UGGGAAUAUUGGACAAUGGGCGCAAGCCUGAUCCAGCAAUGCCGCGUGUGUGAAGAAGGCCUUCGGGUUGUAAAGCACUUUUAUCAGGAGCGAAAUACUACCGGUUAAUAACCGGUGGGGCUGACGGUACCUGAGGAAUAAGCACCGGCUAACUUCGUGCCAGCAGCCGCGGUAAUACGAAGGGUGCAAGCGUUAAUCGGAAUUACUGGGCGUAAAGGGUGCGUAGGCGGUUAUUUAAGUCUGUCGUGAAAUCCCCGGCGUCAACCUGGGAAUGGCGAUGGAUACUGGAUAGCUAGAGUGUGUCAGAGGAUGGUGGAAUUCCCGGUGUAGCGGUGAAAUGCGUAGAGAUCGGGAGGAACAUCAGUGGCGAAGGCGGCCAUCUGGGACAACACUGACGCUGAAGCACGAAAGCGUGGGGAGCAAACAGA
RNAcentral lists this ribosomal RNA (428 nucleotides) under uncultured bacterium. RNAcentral's name for it is "bacterial SSU rRNA". It matches the Rfam family "Bacterial small subunit ribosomal RNA", at positions 356 to 776 of the family's 1533-position model. The record is from RNAcentral.